Long non-coding RNA from Scylla paramamosain (green mud crab), 2800 nucleotides. RefSeq lists it as uncharacterized. Lineage: Eukaryota; Metazoa; Arthropoda; Malacostraca; Decapoda; Portunidae. The transcript has 6 exons. The record is from RefSeq and is a predicted model, not a curated record.
UCCUAUUGCCAGUACUUGUUGUCGACUCCAGUGUUCGAAUUUUAGGCUUUUUUUGUGGUGUAAUGAUAAUUUGAGAGGCACUAUCAAAGGGAGGCAUGUGAAGAGGCUUUUAACUUUUAUUAACUACGGUUGUAAGCUGUGAAAAGCACAAAUUUGAAAACAAUGAAUAAACAAUGGAGAAAUGUGCUUCAAUUAUGGUUUAUAAAUGUAUCAGUCAAGUGAUUCAGUAUUAAAGUGACCACCACCACCACCACCACCCACCCACCCACCCACCACCAUGUAGUGGGUGUAUAGGGUUCGGUCCAGCAGUCUGCCCUGGUGCUGUGUGACGUGAAGACAUGCGUGUGCUGCUACUCUCAUCCUGCCGGUACGUUUGCUAUUGUCUCAUUGGUGUGGUGACUGUGACCUGCCCUGACCUGCUUGUGACCUGCCCUGACCUGCCCUGACCUGCCUGUGACCUGCCUUGACUUGCUCUGACACACAUGGUGAACCAAGACCUUCCGAGACCUUCCGAGACCUUCCAAGACCUUCCAAAAUCUGCCGUGACCCACAGAUGAAGAUGUAUAGAUUUAAGAAGUGCGAUGAUGCGACACACAGACAGACAGACAGACAGACAGGUGUGGGAUGAGUGCUGGCAUACUGAAGGUCAAGAGGUCAAGAGUCACGUGUUGAGUCGUAUGGGUCACCAGACAGGUCACCCACCUAACCCCACUCGGCCUGUCAGUUCAGCGGCAACAAUGUCAUGGAAGAAUUUGCCGCAAGCUGUGCCUCUCUGUGCUUGUUAUCCGAACCUUGUGUCUAAUAUUGCCUUAGUGUGUGUGUGUGUGUGUGUGUGUGUGAGAGAGAGAGAGAGAGAGAGAGAGAGAGAGAGAGAGAGAGAGAGAGAGAGAGAGAGAGAGAGAGAGAGAGAGAUUUUGUUACUCGUCAUGUCCCCUGUACCACUUGAAGACCUCCACCAGACCCCCUCUUAGUCACCCUUGUUGUGUCCCCUGUACCACUUGAAGACCUCCACCAGACCCCCUCUUAGUCACCCUUGUUGUGUCCCCUGUACCACUUGAAGACCUCCACCAGACCCCCUCUUAGUCACCCUUGUUGUGUCCCCUGUGCCACUUGAAGACCUCCACCAGACCCCCUCUUAGUCACCCUUGUUGUGUCCCCUGUACCACUUGAAGACCUCCACCUGACCCCCUCUUAGUCACCCUUCUGAGGUACAAUAGUGUCUAGUCAUCCUUCCUAUGUCAUCCUUGUGUAAUCAGGAAUAAUUAUCAGCCUUUGUACUCCUCCUGUCUGUCUGUCUGUCUGUCUGUCUGUCUGUCUGUCUGCCUACCAGUUAAAAUGAUUUAUGUAGUCAGUUAUACUUGUGAAUACUGUGUGUGUGUGUGUGUGUGUGUGUGUGUGUGUGUGUAUAUAUGAAUUAAUGUUUAUUGUGAAGUAUCUGCCUGCCUUCUUGCAAAUUAAUUAUAAAUAUAGUUACUGUUUGUGUGUGUUUGUGUGUUAUAAAGCAAUCUUGUGUAUAUUAUUGGUUGUAUUCCACAUGUAUGGGCUGGCCAGACGUGAUGUACUGUGACAGCCAGAACCUUGACAUAUACUGCUUGAUAAAAUGAAAAUAAGCAAAAAUACACGAAUAAAGUACAAAUUUUGAGCCGAACUAAUGAGGACUCUCUCUCGUCUUUUUCAGAGGUGCGUACAUCUGCGAGUCAGCCCAACCAACCCCUUAUAUCCUACCUUAUUCUGAUAUAUUAGGUUAGAUUCAGUUAGGUUACUUAUAUUGGGGGCCUGUCUUCCUUACUAACCUAACCUAACCUAACCCAUUCCUUCCUUCUCGUCAAGCUGUUGGUGGGAGAAGCCCCAGGACUCUCAAGCGUGGGUUGAGUCACAACUGCGGGUGUGCUAGCUCACCUUGAAGUCCGGCGGGGCUCACGUGUUGCAGUGUUGCAGUGUUGCAGAUCUUCACCAAAACAAGGGGAGUAUUGUUUUUUUGUGUUCUUUUGUAUAUAUAUAUAUAUUUUUGUGGGGGGGAGGGGGUCUGGGGAUAGCUAUCUGCGGUGUGCGUCUGUGCGUGCGUCUGUGUGUGCGUCUGUGCACGUGCGUCUGUGUGCGUGCAUCUGUGUGUAUGUCUUUUUUUUGGUUGUGUGUGUGUGAAUAUUUUUUUUGGUAUAAAUAUAUAGGUGGUAGGCUAUAAUGUUAGGAUAUUUGACACAGAUUAAUAUAGAAGAUGGUUUAGGUUAGUUAAGGGUUAAGUGAGGCAUAGAGAGAGAGAGAGAGAGAGGAAGACAGAUAUUAAUAGGAUUAGUUUAUAUUUUUUUAGGGUUUUAAGUAAGUAUCUAGGUGGCAGGUCAGAAUGAUAUAAUAUUUAACACAGAUUAAUAUAGAAGAUAGUUUUAAGUUAGUAUAUAUCAAAGGGUUAAGUUAGGCAUAGAGAGAGAGAGAAAGGGUUAUUAAUAGGAUGACAGGAGUAUAUAUGAAAGGGUUAAGUGAGGCAUAGAGAGAGAGAGAAAGGGUUAUUAAUAGGAUGACAGGAGUAUAUAUGAAAGGGUUAAGUGAGGCAGAGAGAGAGAGAUAGGGUUAUUAAUAGGAUGACAGGAGUAUAUAUGAAAGGGUUAAGUGAGGCAUAGAGAGAGAGAAAGGGUUAUUUAUAGGAUGACAGGAGUAUAUAUGAAAGGGUUAAGUGAGGCAUAGAAAGGGUUAUUAAUAGGGUUAGGUUGACGGGGUGUAUGAAUGUUUAACUCAGAUUAUAUUGAAUGUUUAUUUCUUUAUAAUCUGGGUUUGUAUGGCAUGUUGAAUAUUAGUAUGUUAUUUU